GACGAACGCUGGCGGCGUGCUUAACACAUGCAAGUCGAACGGUGACGAGGAGCUUGCUCCUCUGAUCAGUGGCGAACGGGUGAGUAACACGUGAGUAACCUGCCCCAGACUCUGGAAUAACAGUUGGAAACAGCUGCUAAUACCGGAUACGAGACGGAGAGGCAUCUCUACCGUCUGGAAAGUUUUUCGGUCUGGGAUGGACUCGCGGCCUAUCAGCUUGUUGGUGAGGUAAUGGCUCACCAAGGCGACGACGGGUAGCCGGCCUGAGAGGGCGACCGGCCACACUGGGACUGAGACACGGCCCAGACUCCUACGGGAGGCAGCAGUGGGGAAUAUUGCACAAUGGGCGAAAGCCUGAUGCAGCAACGCCGCGUGAGGGAUGACGGCCUCGGUUGUAACGUCUUCUAGUAGGAAGAAGGACGAAGUAGACGGUACCUACACGAAGAAGACACCGGCAACUAACGUGCCAGCAGCCGCGGUAAACUACACGUGUACG
Molecule: ribosomal RNA, 496 nt
Filed under: uncultured bacterium
Lineage: Bacteria
Description: bacterial SSU rRNA
Rfam family: Bacterial small subunit ribosomal RNA
Source: RNAcentral